AGAGGGGGCUAGCGUUAUUCGGAAUUAUUGGGCGUAAAGGGCGCGUAGGCGGCCAUGCGUGUCUUCCGUGAAAUCCCUCGGCUCAACCGAGGACGUGCGGAAGAAACUACAAGGCUUGAGUCCAGAAGAGGGGGGCGGAAUUCCCAGUGUAGCGGUGAAAUGCGUAGAUAUUGGGAGGAACACCGGUGGCGAAGGCGGCCCCCUGGGCUGGUACUGACGCUGAGGCGCGAAAGCGUGGGUAGCAAACGGGAUUAGAUACCCCGGUAGUCCACGCCGUAAACGAUGGGCACUUGGUGUCGCGGGUAUCGACCCCUGCGGUGCCGAAGCUAACGCAUUAAGUGCCCCGCCUGGGGAGUACGGUCGCAAGGCUG
This 371-nucleotide ribosomal RNA is filed under the name uncultured bacterium. RNAcentral's name for it is "bacterial SSU rRNA". It matches the Rfam family "Bacterial small subunit ribosomal RNA", at positions 527 to 896 of the family's 1533-position model. The record is from RNAcentral.